UACGAAGGGGGCUAGCGUUGUUCGGAUUUACUGGGCGUAAAGGGCGCGUAGGCGGAUGUGUAAGUCAGGGGUGAAAUCCCACAGCUCAACUGUGGAACUGCCUUUGAUACUGCGGAUCUUGAGUCCGGGAGAGGUGAGUGGAACUGCGAGUGUAGAGGUGAAAUUCGUAGAUAUUCGCAAGAACACCAGUGGCGAAGGCGGCUCACUGGCCCGGAACUGACGCUGAGGCGCGAAAGCGUGGGGAGCAAACAGG
RNAcentral lists this ribosomal RNA (253 nucleotides) under uncultured bacterium. RNAcentral describes it as "partial 16S ribosomal RNA". It matches the Rfam family "Bacterial small subunit ribosomal RNA", at positions 524 to 776 of the family's 1533-position model. The record is from RNAcentral.